Molecule: ribosomal RNA, 1100 nt
Filed under: Bacillus cereus group sp.
Lineage: Bacteria; Bacillati; Bacillota; Bacilli; Caryophanales; Bacillaceae
Description: bacterial SSU rRNA
Rfam family: Bacterial small subunit ribosomal RNA
Source: RNAcentral
GCAUGGACGAAAGUCGACGAGCACGCGCGUGAGUGAUGAGCUUUCGAGUCGUAAAACUCUGUGUAGGGAAGAACAAGUGCUAGUGAAUAAGCUGGCACCUUGACGGUACCUAACCAGAAAGCACGGCUAACUACGUGCCAGCAGCCGCGGUAAUACGUAGGUGGCAAGCGUAUCCGGAAAUAUUGGGCGUAAAGCGCGCGCAGGUGGUUUCUUAAGUUUGAUGUGAAAGCCCACGGCUCAACCGUGGAGGGUCAUUGGAAACUGGGAGACUUGAGUGCAGAAGAGGAAAGUGGAAUUCCAUGUGUAGCGGUGAAAUGCGUAGAGAUAUGGAGGAACACCAGUGGCGAAGGUGACUUUCUGGUCUGUAACUGACACUGAGGCGCGAAAGCGUGGGGAGCAAACAGGAUUAGAUACCCUGGUAGUCCACGCCGUAAACGAUGAGUGAUAAGUGUUAGAGGGUUUCCGCCCUUUAGUGCUGAAGUUAACGCAUUAAGCACUCCGCCUGGGGAGUACGGCCGCAAGGCUGAAACUCAAAGGAAUUGACGGGGGCCCGCACAAGCGGUGGAGCAUGUGGUUUAAUUUGAAGCAACGCGAAGAACCUUACCAGGUCUUGACAUCCUUUGACAACCCUAGAGAUAGGGCUUCUCCUUCGGGAGCAGAGUGACAGGUGGUGCAUGGUUGUCGUCAGAACGUGUCGUGAGAUGUUGGGUUAAGUCCCGCAACGAGCGCAACCCUUGAUUCUAGUUUUCAUCCAUUAGGUGGGCAUUCUAAGGUGACCGUCCGGUACAAAUCGGGGGAAGGUGGGGAUGACGUCAAAUCAUCUCGCCCUUUCAGACCUGGGAUACACACGUGCUACAAUGGGCGGUUACAAGACCAGCAAGACCGUGAGGUGGAGGUAAUUUCAUAAAACCCUUCUCAGUUCGCAUUGUAGGUUGCAACUCGCCUACUCAAAAUGGAUCCGGUAGUAAUCCCGAUUAGCAUGAGUUAUGCCAGUCGUUUGGGCGGCUUAGUACACGCCGACUCUCACAUCCGGAGAGAAUGUAACACCAGAAAGCUGUGGGGUCACCCGCUGGAGCCAGCACGCUAGACGUGAGCGAGUU